RNAcentral lists this transfer RNA (67 nucleotides) under Marmota monax (woodchuck). RNAcentral's name for it is "tRNA.Ala". Lineage: Eukaryota; Metazoa; Chordata; Mammalia; Rodentia; Sciuridae. The record is from RNAcentral.
GGUUGUGGCUCAUUGGUAGAGCACUUGCCUAGCACAUGUGAGGCACUGGGUUCAAUCCUCAGCACCA